RNAcentral lists this ribosomal RNA (403 nucleotides) under uncultured bacterium. RNAcentral's name for it is "bacterial SSU rRNA". It matches the Rfam family "Bacterial small subunit ribosomal RNA", at positions 355 to 775 of the family's 1533-position model. The record is from RNAcentral.
UAGGGAAUAUUGGUAAUGGGCGAAAGCCUGAACCAGCAACGCCGCGUGUGCGAUGAAGGCCUUCGGGUUGUAAAGCACUUUUGACCGGGACGAGGAAGGACGGUACCGGUGGAAUAAGCCUCGGCUAACUACGUGCCAGCAGCCGCGGUAAAACGUAGGAGGCGAGCGUUAUCCGGAUUUACUGGGCGUAAAGCGCGUGCAGGCGGCACGGCAAGUUGGAUGUGAAAGCUCCCGGCUUAACUGGGAGAGGUCGUUCAAAACUGCCGAGCUAGAGUGCGGGAGAGGGAGGUGGAAUUCCGGGUGUAGUGGUGAAAUGCGUAGAUAUCCGGAGGAACACCAGUGGCGAAAGCGGCCUCCUGGUCCGCAACUGACGCUCAGACGCGAAAGCUAGGGUAGCAAACGG